RNAcentral lists this signal recognition particle RNA (145 nucleotides) under Homo sapiens (human). RNAcentral's name for it is "Metazoan signal recognition particle RNA". It matches the Rfam family "Metazoan signal recognition particle RNA". From Rfam's summary of the family: The signal recognition particle (SRP) is a universally conserved ribonucleoprotein. It is involved in the co-translational targeting of proteins to membranes. The record is from Rfam by way of RNAcentral. Lineage: Eukaryota; Metazoa; Chordata; Mammalia; Primates; Hominidae.
GCCAGGUGUGGUGGUGCAUACCUGUAGUCCCAGCUACUCAGGAGGCUGAGGUGGGAGGAUCGCUUGAGCCCAGGAAGUCAUUGCAGUGAGCCGUGAUCUCGCCACUGCACUCCAGCCUGGGUGACAGAGCGAGACCUUGCCUCUG